This 255-nucleotide ribosomal RNA is filed under the name uncultured bacterium. RNAcentral's name for it is "partial 16S ribosomal RNA". It matches the Rfam family "Bacterial small subunit ribosomal RNA", at positions 28 to 284 of the family's 1533-position model. The record is from RNAcentral.
GACGAACGCUGGCGGCGUGCUUAACACAUGCAAGUCGAGCGGUAAGGCCCUUUCGGGGGUACACGAGCGGCGAACGGGUGAGUAACACGUGGGUGACCUGCCCUCAGCUCUGGGAUAAGCCUGGGAAACCGGGUCUAAUACUGGAUAUGACUCCAUGACGCAUGUUGUGGGGUGGAAAGCCUUGUGCGGCUGAGGAUGGGCCCGCGGCCUAUCAGCUUGUUGGUGGGGUGAUGGCCUACCAAGGCGACGACGGGU